RNAcentral lists this ribosomal RNA (471 nucleotides) under uncultured bacterium. Its description in RNAcentral is "bacterial SSU rRNA". It matches the Rfam family "Bacterial small subunit ribosomal RNA", at positions 355 to 825 of the family's 1533-position model. The record is from RNAcentral.
UGGGGAAUUUUGGACAAUGGGCGCAAGCCUGAUCCAGCCAUACCGCGUGAGUGAAGAAGGCCUUCGGGUUGUAAAGCUCUUUCAGACGGAAAGAAACGGUUACGGCUAAUACCCGUGACUAAUGACGGUACCGUAAGAAGAAGCACCGGCUAACUACGUGCCAGCAGCCGCGGUAAUACGUAGGGUGCGAGCGUUAAUCGGAAUUACUGGGCGUAAAGCGUGCGCAGGCGGUUUGGUAAGACAGAUGUGAAAUCCCCGGGCUUAACCUGGGAACUGCAUUUGUGACUGCAUUGCUGGAGUACGGAAGAGGAGGGCGGAAUUCCCGGUGUAGCGGUGAAAUGCGUAGAUAUCGGGAGGAACAUCAGUGGCGAAGGCGGCCCUCUGGUCCAGUACUGACACUCAAGUGCGAAAGCGUGGGAGCAAACAGGAUUAGAUACCCCAGUAGUCCCUGAGCGGGCUGGCAAGGCGCAU